RNAcentral lists this ribosomal RNA (404 nucleotides) under uncultured bacterium. Its description in RNAcentral is "bacterial SSU rRNA". It matches the Rfam family "Bacterial small subunit ribosomal RNA", at positions 355 to 776 of the family's 1533-position model. The record is from RNAcentral.
UGGGGAAUAUUGGACAAUGGGCGCAAGCCUGAUCCAGCCAUGCCGCGUGGGUGAAGAAGGCCUUAGGGUUGUAAACCCCUUUCAGCGGGGAAGAUAAUGACGGUACCCGCAGAAGAAGUCCCGGCUAACUCCGUGCCAGCAGCCGCGGUAAUACGGAGGGGACUAGCGUUGUUCGGAAUUACUGGGCGUAAAGCGCGCGUAGGCGGACCUGCAAGUCGGGGGUGAAAGCCCGAGGCUCAACCUCGGAACUGCCUUCGAUACUGCGGGUCUCGAGUCCGGGAGAGGUGAGUGGAAUUCCUAGUGUAGAGGUGAAAUUCGUAGAUAUUAGGAAGAACACCAGUGGCGAAGGCGGCUCACUGGCCCGGUACUGACGCUGAGGCGCGAAAGCGUGGGGAGCAAACAGG